CGUCCUUGCUGCGUCACUGUGGGGAUGGGCGACAAGGAACCUUCUGUCUCUUGGCCGAUGUCCGCUCCGCCCCGGGGCCGCCUCAGGCUCGGUGCUGGCCGGCCCCGUUUCAGGGCUCUGCUCUGCUGUUGUUUGAGUUGCUGCUUUUGCCAUUCCGCUAGCAUUGUGGUGCCCAGCCCCUCCAACCCGCGCCGGGUUGCUCGCCGCCGCCGCCGCUGCUGUGGGGGGGCGAGGGGCCAGCACCGCUUCUCUUCCGUUUCCGCCCUGGUCUCUGCCUUGAUCUCCGCCCCUGAGUUCCUCCUCCUGACUUAGCCUUGUUUCAUCACCAACUCCGCCUGCCUCCUCAGGUGUCUCCCCGCCUCCCGAGGGACCCGACAGGGCCACUUCCGAGUUUGCCUCACUCCACGGGACCGCGAAGCUGUUAACAUCUGCUGCUUUUUUCUCCGCAGUCAUGAUUUGCAGGCUCUCUUUGAGAGAAUAUGAAAGAGAAGCUGUACGGAAGCCUGGAGAUACCUAUCUAAAUCAAGCCCUUUAAAUUGCCUCCGUCUGAAAAACGAGGUGAAAAGGUUAUAUGCUGCUUGCCUGUCCAUUAUUCACGUCAGCGCUGUUGCAGACCCUCUAGGCUUCGGCAGCACGUAUCGGCUGAGCCCGCCGUUGCAGUCACUUAGGGCGCGGCACCAGGUAGUGGAGCUUAAUCGCCGUCCGUCUAGCUGCGGGACCCGACCCCAACGCAACGUCUCACAGAUCCAGGCGGGGGGGUCCCGUCCGUUCGGGCGCCAGAUGUUGGUGAGAGUGUCGCGGGAGACAAGCCUCAUGCUGUCAUGAUCAACAAGUCUCAGUUUAUUGGAGUCGAUUACAGUUUCUUUGUACAAGCACUAAUUAGUUCAUACAUAUUGCAAAAGCGAAGCUCAGGAUUGGUUACCUUUCUAUUAACACAUAUAUCUCUUUGCGAUAAGCCUUGCAGUUACUGUUUCUUUAUACUUGAUUAUCUUUCUGCAUACUAAGCAA
Molecule: non-coding RNA, 1008 nt
Organism: Taeniopygia guttata (zebra finch)
Lineage: Eukaryota; Metazoa; Chordata; Aves; Passeriformes; Estrildidae
Source: RefSeq, a predicted model, not a curated record